GGCUCAAGAACGAACGCUGGCGGCGCGUCUUAAGCAUGCAAGUCGAACGGCAAGAGGUAGCAAUACCUCCUAGAGUGGCGGACUGGUGAGUAACACGUGGGUGACAUACCCUUCAGAUGGGGAUAGCUAUUAGAAAUAGUAGAUAAUACCGAAUACGAGCACAGGGGUUAGAGAUCUGUGAGGAAAGGAGCUAAGGCUCCGCUGAAGGAAUGGCCUGCGGCCCAUUAGCUAGUUGGUGAGGUAAGAGCCCACCAAGGCGAUGAUGGGUAUCCGGCCUUAGAGGGUGAACGGACACAUUGGGACUGAGAUACGGCCCAGACUCCUACGGGAGGCAGCAGCUAAGAAUAUUCCGCAAUGGACGAAAGUCUGACGGAGCGACGCCGCCGUGGAUGAAGAAGGCCGGAAGGUUGUAAAAUCCUUUUGAAACUGAAGAAUAAGCGUUGUAGGGAAUGACAGCGUGGUGACAGUAGGUUUUGAAUAAGCAACGGCUAAUUACGUGCCAGCCGCCGC
RNAcentral lists this ribosomal RNA (510 nucleotides) under uncultured bacterium. RNAcentral's name for it is "bacterial SSU rRNA". It matches the Rfam family "Bacterial small subunit ribosomal RNA", at positions 26 to 518 of the family's 1533-position model. The record is from RNAcentral.